This is a non-coding RNA of Bombyx mori (domestic silkworm), 84 nucleotides long. The record is from Rfam. Lineage: Eukaryota; Metazoa; Arthropoda; Insecta; Lepidoptera; Bombycidae.
UUAACUAAAAUUUGUAUGGAGUUUGAAUGGUUGCCUACAUUUGCCGCUAGGGGCGCUGUUCCAACUCCAUACAAAUUUGAGUUA